AUCUAUAUAAAUUUACUCUCAAAUCCACCUUCAACUAAUUUUUCAUAUUAAUAUUCAUAUUAAAUAAAUUUAAUGUAACUCAUUACUACUUAAAUAUAAGCUACACCUUGAUCUGAAAUAAAAUUUAAUAUAAAUUAUUGAAAAUUAUUAUUCUUAUAAAAUAUUCUGAUAACGACGGUAUAUAAACUGUUUUACAAACUUAAGUAAGGUCCAACGGGGAUUAUCAAUUAUAGAACAAGUUCCUCUGAAUAGACUAAAAUACCGCCAAAUUUUUUAAGUUUCAAGAACAUAACUAUUAC
RNAcentral lists this ribosomal RNA (299 nucleotides) under Teleopsis breviscopium. RNAcentral describes it as "partial 12S ribosomal RNA". The record is from RNAcentral. Lineage: Eukaryota; Metazoa; Arthropoda; Insecta; Diptera; Diopsidae.